UACGUAGGAGGCAAGCGUUAUCCGGAUUCAUUGGGCGUAAAGUGUGCGUAGGCGGUCUAGUAAGUCCUAAUUUAAAGGCUGUGGCUUACCCAUAGUUCUGGGAAGGAUACUAUUAGACUAGAGGAUAGAUAGGGGAACUAGAACAGUUAGUGUAGCAGUGAAAUGCGUUGAUAUUAACUGGAAUACCGAUGGCGAAGGCAGGUUCCUGGGUUUUUCCUGACGCUGAGGCACGAAAGCUAGGGUAGCGAAA
Molecule: ribosomal RNA, 250 nt
Filed under: uncultured bacterium
Lineage: Bacteria
Description: partial 16S ribosomal RNA
Rfam family: Bacterial small subunit ribosomal RNA
Source: RNAcentral